GCCCCGGUGGCCUAAUGGAUAAGGCCUCCUAAGCCAGGGAUUGUGGCUUCAAGUACCACCUGGGGUA
This 67-nucleotide transfer RNA is filed under the name Bison bison bison. Lineage: Eukaryota; Metazoa; Chordata; Mammalia; Artiodactyla; Bovidae. The record is from Rfam by way of RNAcentral.